UUUUAUUUAUUUUGAUAGUUAUCAGAUUUUGAAUAAAAAAAAAAACAAACAAACAACUAUCCUAAGUUUACUCCCUACACAACCGCCCACUUUCUUUGUUUUUCUUUUCAUACGUUUCCUUAUUUUUCUUUCUUGGUUUUGUUCUUUUUUUUUUCCUUUUUGGUUACUUUUGGUCACUACCAUUGUUCUUUUGCUUGAAUCGUAGAUUGGUGCUCAGUGUAAGUUUUCGCAAGAAUACAUUUUUGGGUCUUUCGUUACUAUUCUGAUUUUAUUUUGUUUCUUGAGUAAGGUGGAUUGUACUUGUAUAACUUUGUGCGAGGUUUUGAUGGGUAAUUUUUGUGUUGUUCAGUUAGGCGAAGGGUAUUGAAUCCUAACAUUCCAGCGAAGUAAAUUCGAUUGUUCGAUGUUGUUCGAGGAAGUAAGUAUUUGGACUCCAUUUAGAGGCUAUAAUUUCAAUUUAGGGAGGUUAUUUUGCUUGUGUUUUACGAAUUAAUUUGGGUAAAUUGAUGAACGAAUGUAGGUUUUGGGGGUUCUAGAAGCAUGCUUAUUCUAACAACGACCAGGAGUGUGAAAAUACCCAAAAAUUCCUUAGAAAUUCGAUUGAUAUUGUGAAACAAAAGCUGUUGCGAAACUGCCUAGUUUUCACACGGUCGUGUGAAUUAUAAGUUGUGUUAUUAGUAAAAUGAAUUAUGUAAGCAUGUCCUGUAACAUAUGCUAUAUGUAUGUAUGUUGUCUGUUUAUGAUUAUAUGAUAUGUAUAAUAUACGAAUCUGAUAUGUAGAUGUUUGGGGUGGGAUUUGUUAUGAUGGAAGAAAUGUGUAUGGCAAUAUUUACUGCAAAAAUGCCAGCUAGACUGCAAAACUAUAUGUAUGGCAGCUUAGUUGCAAUUAUAUGAGUGGCAGACCACCACAUAUUGGUGUGAUUGGAUAGAUGGACUUGUGUAGUCCAAUAUGAUGUGAUUGGUUGGACGGAGCUGCUGUGUAACGGAUAGGAGUAGAAUAUGUUACGCAUGUUAUGAUUUGAUAUGAUAUGAUAUGUUUGUUAUAACCUAGAAAGAUGUGAUAUGGUAUGAUAAGCUAUAAUUCCUAUGAAUUUUGUUAUGAUGUGAAAUAUGUAAAAUAUGUAAAACAUAAGUUUGUGAUAUUUUGAUUAAUGUAUUCUUUUAUGUAUUGUGAGUCUGGGUCAAAUUGUACAUUGGGUCUUAAAGCUCACGAUUUUAUUUGCUUGUCUGAUUUCGGGUAACCUUUCGAACUAGGAUUGGACGGCGACUUGGAACUCGAAAUUUCAUGUUUUUGAACUAAGAAUUAUGGGUUGUAUUGUUUUAUUCGAUUUGGGCAUUACGGACAUUUUGAUUGGGUUUGUUAAUUUGGAAUAUUUUGUGUUUGUUAGAUUAUUAGGAUCACAUAUAUAAGUUAUUAUCAUGCUAAGACUUAAACUGGUUAAUGACACCUAAUUUUAAAUAACUAAAAUGAAUACCAGUUUUUUUUUUCCAAACGAUGGGAAUUUAAUGUUUUUCUGCUGCAAAACAAAUUAGGCAAUUUUGUGAAAUAGGGUUUUUGACAUAAAAAUGUGAUAUGAAAAUUUUAACUUUAAAUUUUGAAACACUACUAAGCUUUGAAGUUUUUGAGCAGUUGGAAUGCUAUAUUUGUUUUCAAAUGUUUUACUAGUUUUUUUUUCAAAUCCACUAUUUUUUAUUGUAACUUCUAUUUAAGCAUGGUAACCUUCACAAUCCGACCAUAACAUUUAGUCCAAGUUGGGGUGUUACAAAAUACAUAUAAUUAGUAAGAAAAUGCUAAGGGUAUGGUAAGCUUGUGUUGCAAUUUGCUGAAAAAUCUGACAUUCUUUUAGGGAAUUUGUUGAAAAAUCAGGAAGGACUUACAUUCAAGUUUCAAUUUGUGGGAAAGGAUUUUAAGUUGCAAGGUACAUUUGAAUCGAUUGUCAGCAGUGGAAAAAAAGGUGAAAAAAGAUGAACUGCAUUUCAAAGUGAAGGUGAAGGAUAUGGAGCCAAACCAUGAGAGGAAAAGAAGGCUACCAAAUCAAUGGAGAAUGAAAAGUUGAAGCAUAAGGAUGAUAAGGGGGAGAAACAUAAAGAGAAGGAUAAGGAAAAACAGAGGAUAGUGAGAUUGGAGAAAUGAAGAAUAAAGAGGAGAAAAAGAAAGAGAAAUGAUGAAAACACAAAGAAAAAAAUGAAAAAAUACAAAGAGGCGGAGAUGAAGAAAGAAGGAAAACACGAGGAUAAAGAGAUGGUAAAGAGGUGGUAAAAGAAUAUGAAGAGAAAUAAGAGAAGAAGAAAGAAAAGAAGUAUAAGGAGAAAGAGGUUGAGGGAGAAGAAGAUGAACACAACAAUGAGAAGAAAAAGAAGAAAGACACAGAGAAGGAAAAAAGUAAAACCCAAUCAUCCUUUCUCUUUUUACCCUAAACCAAUCUUUUCUAUUCUUUUUUACCUUUGACUACUUGUCCAACGUGGCAAGUCAAUUAGUUAACUAGCCAUGUCAGUUGUCCAAUUAAGCCUAUGAUGAAAAAUGUUAAUGAUUGACUGAUUUGUCAUUUUUCAAAAGUUAAAUGACUGAAUUGAAACUUAAGUGACUGUUUUUUC
RNAcentral lists this long non-coding RNA (2595 nucleotides) under Gossypium barbadense (sea-island cotton). RNAcentral describes it as "long non-coding RNA (GBAR_LNC016390)". The record is from RNAcentral. Lineage: Eukaryota; Viridiplantae; Streptophyta; Magnoliopsida; Malvales; Malvaceae.